AGAGGUCCACCAUAUUGAUGUUAAACUUGGUGGAGACAUCCUAUCAGCUUAGUCUGCGGCAGGUUGAGCUACAUGAACUUGGGAACACAAAUGAAGAGCCAUGAUGUCAAACCCAAAUAUUUGAGUACAACCACUCCAAUGCUUUCUGUCUGUUGUUAGGUUCCAUGGAAAUAUGUAUGAUGAGAAUGAAAAUGCCUGCCAAGUAGAUGUGUGAUCAUGAGGGUAUAAAAUAAAACCAGGCCUCAGCCAAAGU
RNAcentral lists this long non-coding RNA (253 nucleotides) under Monodelphis domestica (gray short-tailed opossum). Its description in RNAcentral is "lncRNA (ENSMODG00000043153.1)". Lineage: Eukaryota; Metazoa; Chordata; Mammalia; Didelphimorphia; Didelphidae. The record is from RNAcentral.